GACGAACGCUGGCGGCGUGCCUAACACAUGCAAGUCAACUUGAGGGAAGGAGCAAUCUGACCUGAUGGUGGCGCAAGGGUGCGUAACGCGUAAGUAACUUGCCCAAGGUAAGGAAUAACGUCGAGAAAUCGGCGCUAAUACCUCAUAAUGCAGCGGAUCCGCAUGGAUAUGUUGUUAAAGGUUUACCGCCUUGGGAUAGGCUUGCGUCUGAUUAGCUAGUUGGUGUGGUAAUGGCACACCAAGGCUACGAUCAGUAACUGGUCUGAGAGGAUGAUCAGUCACACUGGAACUGAGACACGGUCCAGACUCCUACGGAGGCAGCAGUGAGGAAUAUUGGGCAAUGCACGAAAGUAGU
This 355-nucleotide ribosomal RNA is filed under the name uncultured bacterium. RNAcentral describes it as "bacterial SSU rRNA". It matches the Rfam family "Bacterial small subunit ribosomal RNA", at positions 28 to 384 of the family's 1533-position model. The record is from RNAcentral.